GUAUAGUAAGAAACUAUUAUAUAAAUUGGCUAUUACAUUGGCUAUAGAUGAUUUGGAGUUUGUAGUGGGCUAUACUAUUAGACUUGCUCACUACUAACUCUAAAUCAUCUAUACGUAAUGUAAUAGCCAAUUCAUAUAAUAGUUGUUUACUAUACUAUU
Molecule: unclassified non-coding RNA, 159 nt
Filed under: Oryza sativa (Asian cultivated rice)
Lineage: Eukaryota; Viridiplantae; Streptophyta; Magnoliopsida; Poales; Poaceae
Description: partial microRNA MIR487f precursor
Source: RNAcentral